This 795-nucleotide ribosomal RNA is filed under the name Triticum aestivum (bread wheat). RNAcentral's name for it is "partial small subunit ribosomal RNA". The record is from RNAcentral. Lineage: Eukaryota; Viridiplantae; Streptophyta; Magnoliopsida; Poales; Poaceae.
AUGCUCAGAUCCGUGCUCCGCUUCGCAUCAACUCUCGUCGUGGCCACUGUUGGCCACUGCAAUUUUCCAGAUGAGAUCGCUCCUUCAUUGAAUUUCCCCAUCCUCAAGCAUCUCACCCUGCGUCACGUUAACAUCUCCGUGGAUGCAUUCCAUGGUGUUCUCUCCGCCUGCCAUGUGUUGGAGACCCUAUUUCUGCCUGAAAAUGUUUACAAUGGCUCCCUCCACAUAAGCUCACGAAAUCUUAGGAGCAUCUGCUUCAGUGAUUGUUUUAUGGGCACAAACGAAUUGGUUAUUGAGGACACCCCUCACCUUGAAAGGCUGCUUUGUCCAUGCUUGGACGUCGAGACUAUCCGGGUAAAUAGGGCACCUAAACUGGAGAUAUUGGGCCCAUUGUCACCGCGCAUCUCCAAUGUUCAGAUUGCAAACCUAGUCUUUCAGGGGUUGGUUCCAACCAGCUUCAACAAUUUGAUAUGCACAGUGAAGGUUCUGGCUCUCCAGUUUUAUUGCGCUGAUUUGAAUGCGGUUCUUGACGUCCUCAGGUUCUUCCCCUGCUUGGAAAAGCUUUAUGUUAUGUGGAACAAAUACUUAAACACAGAGAUGAACAAUGGGCGUCAUUAUGACCCAAUAGAUCCAAUCAAAUGCCUUGAGACCCAUCUCAAAACACUUGUGUUGAAGAAUUACAAAGGCGACAAGCAAGAUGUUUACCUUUGCCAAGUUCUUUGUUCUGAAUGGGAAAGUGCUAAAUGCGAUCAAAUUUGGCGUGACUGUGAAGUUCGACGAGAAAUGGGUGGCUGA